CAUAGUUUAGGGUAGCAUGUUCUGAACCCCAUCAAUUUCCCCUUAAAGUGGUUGUUUUUUGAACUUUACAUAACAGUAACUUCUUGAGAAGAUGGUCAUGUAUUUACGUAUAUAUUUGGGACACUCUUUUCUCAGAGCCUUUGAAACACCUGCAACUACCAGAGGAGUUUUUUUUUUUUUGAAACGGAGUCUCCCUCUGUCGCCUAGGCUGGAGUGCAGUGGCGUGACCUCGGCUCACUGCAACCCAGAGGUGUCAGUUCUUACAGGUUCCUUACACAGCAUGAGUUUGAAGCUUAGGGUAUUGAUUGGCCCUGCCUGAAGCGUUAGUGAGAAACCGUGGGCUUUGAACCUCGGCAGGGCUGUGAACCAAGAGCAGAUGCUGCAGUUCUUCUCCUCAAGGCCUCCAAAAAAGCGUCAUGAGAAAUAAAGGAACUGUGCAGCCAGGGGCAAAAUGCCUCCCGCAACUCCAGGGGCGCCAUUCACAGGAAGCCAGCGUGGACGCCCCUGUGCAGGCCUCUGGGAGCAAGAAAGCUUUUUUCCAAGAUAUGGGGAUGGACAAUUUUCCUGAGGCGCAGACCUUAGGGAGCUUCCCGGGAGAAAGGCUGUUUCCUGUCUUGGGCGUGGAAGCGGAUCCGCCCCCUGAGUCUGAGAGGACAUGGCGGUCGGUAAACAGGACUUAAUUCUGUUCCUCAUCCACCCAGAACCCUCCCUGAGGGCCUCCCCUGCACUUUGGAAACAGCCCAAGCUUUGAAAUCAGGAAGUUUGAAGACUGGUUCUGCUACUUCCAGGCUGUGUGGCCUUGGCGAAGAUGUUUUUGCUGUGUUGCCUGGGCUGGUCUCAAACUCUUGGCCUCAAGUCAUCCUCCCACCUCAGCCUCCUGAGUACGAGGGAUUACAAGCAUGAGCCACCACACCCA
Molecule: long non-coding RNA, 916 nt
Filed under: Homo sapiens (human)
Lineage: Eukaryota; Metazoa; Chordata; Mammalia; Primates; Hominidae
Source: RNAcentral